AGGCGUGCGGGGCCGGAGCGGCAUGGGCACGGCGGAGGGGCUCUGAUCCUGUGUGAAUCCCCUCCGGGCGGCCGGCGAAAGCGCUGCGGGUGAAACCUGACCUUCUUAUCUCCCCUCCCUCCCGCCGUUUUCUCCUCGCCGCCUUUGCGAAAGGAUGUGAAAAUCGCCAGAAGGGUUGAAGCCGCCAUCUCCCGGUCUCCUCACGAUAUGGAAAAUCCCCAAAAGCGCUUAGGGAGGAAAGAAACGAACCAACCAACCGAAAAAAAAAAAAAAAAAGCCCGAGGAUUGAUUUAUCAUCAGAGCUGGAGUGGUAUGGGAAGAAACCAUCGCUGCUCGCCUGCUCCCCACGACAGCUUGCCCACCAUUCGCUUAAUUAAAAUCAUACAUUGGUGUGAUCAGACGUGGUAAUGCCAUUAAAAAAAAAACAAAAACAAAAACCCAAAUCCCGUAACAUUCACAUUCUCGUUGUUGGAGGCUGUAACCAAGUCCAUGAUGGAAGUUUAUGCCUGAAUGUUUUAUUUGUCCCACAGAGAUGUAGAUUUUUCCUUGGGAGAUUUGGGAAGGAUUAUUUUUUAAUGAAAAAGAGGAAAAAAAAAAAAUACCACCGGAAAAAAAACAACAAAACAAACAAUGAAAAAGAAACUAAAAGGAAAAAAAAAGCACAACAAAACCAAACCGCAGUAAGUGAAGCUGCAAAUGCAACCGAGUAGUCCGGAUCAGAUAAUUCAUUGCACAAAGAAAGGUAAAAUGGAGCUGCAAUGGCCGGCUUUGCUGUUCAUCCAGGAGGAGGGAUCAGCUCCUUUAUCCCAA
Molecule: long non-coding RNA, 810 nt
Organism: Pseudopodoces humilis (Tibetan ground-tit)
Lineage: Eukaryota; Metazoa; Chordata; Aves; Passeriformes; Paridae
Source: RefSeq, a predicted model, not a curated record